This is a long non-coding RNA of Salvia splendens (bonfire salvia), 378 nucleotides long. RefSeq lists it as uncharacterized. NCBI's taxonomy places the organism in Eukaryota, Viridiplantae, Streptophyta, Magnoliopsida, Lamiales, Lamiaceae. The transcript is spliced from 2 exons. The record is from RefSeq and is a predicted model, not a curated record.
GUGAAUCCUGUGCAAUUUUAGGUUGGUGAUCUGAAAUUGCGUAAAAUUGAUCAAUUUAUGAUCACGCACACACAUACCGGGGAGAUAGAGGAGGAGAGUGUUGCAAUCUUCCUGUUGUAUCAAAUCGGAAGCCGGCUGAAAGAGGGAAAGAACAGAGGUUGCUUUUGUUGGGAACUUCAACUACCCCUCCACCUCCACGGUUUCGAUUUCUUCUCUCUUUUUUUAGUAAGUAUUUCAUCAACCAUAUGCUAGCUCACUUACUGAACCGAGUUAUUACAAGGUAGAAAAAUUUGUCAAAGAAGUAGUUUGAAAUGAAUUGAUGUUUUUAGACUAAAUAUUGUAUAUUCUUAUAUUUAAUAAUAUACUAAUUCAUAGUAA